GAUGAACGCUGGCGGCGUGCCUAAUACAUGCAAGUCGAGCGAACAGACGAGGCGCUUGCUCCUCUCACGUGAGCGGCGGAGGUGUGUGUAACACGUGGAUCACCUCCCUGUAUGACUGGGAUAACUUCGGGAAACCGGCUCUAAUACCGUAGAAGAUAUUGAUCCACGUGGUGCGAUAGUGAAAGUCGGUUGUUCGGUCUCUUAUCGAUGGAUCUGCGCCUCAUUAGAUAGUUGGGGAGGUAACGGGUUACGAAGGCGACGAUGCGUAGCCGAACUGAGAGAGUGAUAGGCCACACUGGAACUGAGACAGGGUCCAGACGCCUAAGGGAGGGAGCAGUAGGGAACCUUCCGCAACGGGCGAAAGCCUGACGGAGCAACGCCGCGCGAGUGAUGAAGGUGCUGGGAGCGUAAAACUCUGUUACGAGGGAAGAACAAAUGUGUAAGUAAACAUGCACGUCUUGACGGUAACUAAUCAGAAAGCCACGGCUAACUACGUG
Molecule: ribosomal RNA, 497 nt
Filed under: uncultured bacterium
Lineage: Bacteria
Description: partial 16S ribosomal RNA
Rfam family: Bacterial small subunit ribosomal RNA
Source: RNAcentral